This is a non-coding RNA of Arvicanthis niloticus (Nile rat), 137 nucleotides long. The record is from RefSeq and is a predicted model, not a curated record. NCBI's taxonomy places the organism in Eukaryota, Metazoa, Chordata, Mammalia, Rodentia, Muridae.
UGCCCCAGCAAUGGGGCAAGAGACACCUUGUUGCUGGUGGUGUUCUUACAUCAGUCAGAGCAGAUGGCAGUCCUUUGUUCAUCCUAGCUUGAUGUCUGGCUUAGUGGCCAAAACUCUCUUAUGCCUAGGACACAUAA